GUUGACCUCGGAUCAGGUAGGAAUACCCGCUGAACUUAAGCAUAUCAAUAAGCGGAGGAAAAGAAACCAACAGGGAUUGCCCUAGUAACGGCGAGUGAAGCGGCAACAGCUCAAAUUUGAAAUCUGGCCUCGGCCCGAGUUGUAAUUUGCAGAGGAUGCUUUUGGCGCGGUGCCUUCCGAGUUCCCUGGAACGGGACGCCACAGAGGGUGAGAGCCCCGUAUGGUUGGACACCAAGCCUGUGUAAAGCUCCUUCGACGAGUCGAGUAGUUUGGGAAUGCUGCUCAAAAUGGGAGGUAAAUCUCUUCUAAAGCUAAAUACCGGCCAGAGACCGAUAGCGCACAAGUAGAGUGAUCGAAAGAUGAAAAGCACCUUGAAAAGGGGGUUAAACAGUACGUGAAAUUGUUGAAAGGGAAGCGCUUGUGACCAGACUUGCGCCGGGCGGCUCAUCCGGGGUUCUCCCCGGUGCACUCCGCCCGGCUCAGGCCAGCAUCGGUUCUCGUGGGGGGAUAAGACCGGUGGGAACGUAGCACCCUCCGGGGUGUGUUAUAGCCCGCCGGACGAUACCCCCGUGGGGACCGAGGUUCGCGCUCCGCAAGGAUGCUGGCGUAAUGGUCAUCAGCGACCCGUCUUGAAACACGGACCAAGGAGUCGUCCAUUAUAGCGAGCGUUUGGGUGUAAAACCCGCACGCGUAAUGAAAGUGAAAUUAGGUGAGAGCUUCGGCGCAUCAUCGACCGAUCCUGAUGUUCUCGGAUGGAUUUGAGUAAGAGUUAUAACGGACGGACCCGAAAGACAGUGAACUAUGCUUGUAUAGGGUGAAGCCAGAGGAAACUCUGGUGGAGGCUCGCAGCGGUUCUGACGUGCAAAUCGAUCGUCAAAUAUGAGCAUGGGGGCGAAAGAC
Molecule: ribosomal RNA, 900 nt
Filed under: Crinitospora pulchra
Lineage: Eukaryota; Fungi; Ascomycota; Sordariomycetes; Diaporthales; Melanconidaceae
Description: eukaryotic LSU rRNA
Rfam family: Eukaryotic large subunit ribosomal RNA
Source: RNAcentral